RNAcentral lists this unclassified non-coding RNA (387 nucleotides) under soil metagenome. Its description in RNAcentral is "partial contains 5.8S ribosomal RNA, internal transcribed spacer 2, and large subunit ribosomal RNA". The stretch from base 1 to 120 matches the Rfam family "5.8S ribosomal RNA", at positions 35 to 154 of the family's 154-position model. The record is from RNAcentral.
GAUGAAGAACGUAGCGAAAUGCGAUAAGUAAUGUGAAUUGCAGAAUUCAGUGAAUCAUCGAAUCUUUGAACGCACCUUGCACCCUUUGGCAUUCCGAAGGGUAUGCUCGUUUGAGUGUCAUUGUACUCUCACACUCUCCGAUCCUAUGGAUUCGGGGAGCGGUGGACUUGGGUGUUGCUGCCUUUCCCUGAGGCUCACCUCAAAUGCGUCAGUGCACCUCUUGGUUGGACAUAGUACGGCGUGAUAAGUGUCUUCGCCGGCACCUCGCAAGAGGGUGGCCGAUCGGGAGCUCUGCGCUUUCAAACCGUCUUCGGACAAUUUCUGACAUCUUGACCUCAAAUCGAGUAGGACUACCCGCUGAACUUAAGCAUAUCAAUAAGCGGAGGA